RNAcentral lists this ribosomal RNA (446 nucleotides) under uncultured bacterium. Its description in RNAcentral is "bacterial SSU rRNA". It matches the Rfam family "Bacterial small subunit ribosomal RNA", at positions 75 to 537 of the family's 1533-position model. The record is from RNAcentral.
CAAUACAGGGUCGUGGGCGCGUGGCGAACGGGUGCGUAACACGUGGAUAACCUUCCUUCAGGUGGGGAAUAACCCAGUGAAAAUUGGGCUAAUACCGCAUAACAUGACGAUGCCACAUGGUGUUGUCUUCAAAGCCGCAAGGCGCCAGAAGAGGGAUCCGCGGCCGAUUAGCUUGUUGGCGAGGUAAUGGCUCACCAAGGCUUUGAUCGGUAGCCGGACUGAGAGGUUGGCCGGCCACACUGGAACUGAGACACGGUCCAGACUCCUACGGGAGGCAGCAGUGGGGAAUCUUGCGCAAUGGGGGAAACCCUGACGCAGCAACGCCGCGUGGAGGAUGAAGUCCUUCGGGACGUAAACUCCUUUCGAUCGGGACGAUUAUGACGGUACCGGAAGAAGAAGCCCCGGCUAACUUCGUGCCAGCAGCCGCGGUAAUACGAGGGGGGCGA